CCUACGGGCGGCAGCAGUGAGGAAUAUUGGUCAAUGGCCGGACGGCUGAACCAGCCAUGCCGCGUGAAGGUCAGUGCCCUAUGGGCGUUAAACUUCUUUUGUGCGGGAGCAAUAAUGGUCACGUGUGGCCAGACGAGAGUACCGUACGAAUAAGCAUCGGCUAACUCUGUGCCAGCAGCCGCGGUAAUACGGGGGAUGCAAGCGUUAUCCGGAUUUAUUGGGUUGAAAGGGUGCGUAGGCUGUGAGGUAAGUCAGCGGUGAAAUGCCCCCGCUCAACGGGGUGAAGUGCCAUUGAUACUGCCUUGCUGGAAGGCGGAUGGCGUUGGAGGAAUGUGUGGGGUAGCGGGGAAAUGCAUAGAUAUCACACAGAACACCGAUUGCGAAGGCAUCUCACGAAUCCGCGAUUGACGCUGAUGCACGAAAGCGUGGGUAUCAAACAGGAUUAGAUACCCUUGUAGUC
RNAcentral lists this ribosomal RNA (460 nucleotides) under uncultured bacterium. RNAcentral describes it as "partial 16S ribosomal RNA". It matches the Rfam family "Bacterial small subunit ribosomal RNA", at positions 338 to 795 of the family's 1533-position model. The record is from RNAcentral.